CCUCAGCAUACUUCCCAGGGGAGGCACCUACAGCGCCCCCGGAGAUGGUGGUAAGGCUGGUAGAGCACUGCAGACGGCGCAGGCUCCCCCUCCAUCAUAGGCUGUGACGCCAACGCUCAMCACGUGGAAUGGGGAAGCACCGAUUGCAACACAAGAGAUUGAAUUUGGUCAUCAUAUGCAAAACUCACCGAAGAUGGCAGUGUGAGAAGUAAAUAUCGAUACGGAAUUUAGCCCCACAAUGAUGAAAUCACGCCACGUAAACAACACAACAAAUACUGGGCUACAACCGGAAAUCCACGGCACUUCUAGCAACACCCGUCAUCCAAAGAAAAAUGUUGCGAAUGAGCGAGUAAGCAGCACACGGCUUGGGUGAAAGUUCGAUUCUCCGGCUAGGCUUAGUGCCCUGACUUGUGAAUGCCGUCUGUUAAGGAAUAGUUCAUCUUCUGACCGAUUCAACUAUGUCGUCGUAGCACACACGACCGCCAACGCACGUCAGCAUCGCCAUUUUAUAUAAUUAAAGCAGGAGAAAUUGUAAAUAUGUAUAAGAAAACAUAAAAUAAAGUACGAUUUGUGAAGA
Molecule: long non-coding RNA, 577 nt
Organism: Bactrocera latifrons
Lineage: Eukaryota; Metazoa; Arthropoda; Insecta; Diptera; Tephritidae
Exons: 2
Source: RefSeq, a predicted model, not a curated record